CCUACGGGAGGCAGCAGUGGGGAAUAUUGGGCAAUGGGCGCAAGCCUGACCCAGCAACGCCGCGUGAAGGAAGAAGGCUUUCGGGUUGUAAACUUCUUUUCUCAGGGACGAAGAAAGUGACGGUACCUGAGGAAUAAGCCACGGCUAACUACGUGCCAGCAGCCGCGGUAAUACGUAGGUGGCAAGCGUUAUCCGGAUUUAUUGGGUGUAAAGGGCGUGUAGGCGGGAGCGCAAGUCAGAUGUGAAAGCUCAGGGCUCAACCCUGAGCCUGCAUUUGAAACUGUGUUUCUUGAGUGCUGGGGAGGCAAUCGGAAUUCCGUGUGUAGCGGUGAAAUGCGUAGAUAUACGGAGGAACACCAGUGGCGAAGGCGGAUUGCUGGACAGUAACUGACGCUGAGGCGCGAAAGCGUGGGGAGCAAACAGGAUUAGAUACCCGAGUAGUC
This 443-nucleotide ribosomal RNA is filed under the name uncultured bacterium. RNAcentral describes it as "partial 16S ribosomal RNA". It matches the Rfam family "Bacterial small subunit ribosomal RNA", at positions 338 to 795 of the family's 1533-position model. The record is from RNAcentral.